Molecule: ribosomal RNA, 1399 nt
Filed under: Staphylococcus aureus
Lineage: Bacteria; Bacillati; Bacillota; Bacilli; Caryophanales; Staphylococcaceae
Description: bacterial SSU rRNA
Rfam family: Bacterial small subunit ribosomal RNA
Source: RNAcentral
ACGGACGAGAAGCUUGCUUCUCUGAUGUUAGCGGCGGACGGGUGAGUAACACGUGGAUAACCUACCUAUAAGACUGGGAUAACUUCGGGAAACCGGAGCUAAUACCGGAUAAUAUUUUGAACCGCAUGGUUCAAAAGUGAAAGACGGUCUUGCUGUCACUUAUAGAUGGAUCCGCGCUGCAUUAGCUAGUUGGUAAGGUAACGGCUUACCAAGGCAACGAUGCAUAGCCGACCUGAGAGGGUGAUCGGCCACACUGGAACUGAGACACGGUCCAGACUCCUACGGGAGGCAGCAGUAGGGAAUCUUCCGCAAUGGGCGAAAGCCUGACGGAGCAACGCCGCGUGAGUGAUGAAGGUCUUCGGAUCGUAAAACUCUGUUAUUAGGGAAGAACAUAUGUGUAAGUAACUGUGCACAUCUUGACGGUACCUAAUCAGAAAGCCACGGCUAACUACGUGCCAGCAGCCGCGGUAAUACGUAGGUGGCAAGCGUUAUCCGGAAUUAUUGGGCGUAAAGCGCGCGUAGGCGGUUUUUUAAGUCUGAUGUGAAAGCCCACGGCUCAACCGUGGAGGGUCAUUGGAAACUGGAAAACUUGAGUGCAGAAGAGGAAAGUGGAAUUCCAUGUGUAGCGGUGAAAUGCGCAGAGAUAUGGAGGAACACCAGUGGCGAAGGCGACUUUCUGGUCUGUAACUGACGCUGAUGUGCGAAAGCGUGGGGAUCAAACAGGAUUAGAUACCCUGGUAGUCCACGCCGUAAACGAUGAGUGCUAAGUGUUAGGGGGUUUCCGCCCCUUAGUGCUGCAGCUAACGCAUUAAGCACUCCGCCUGGGGAGUACGACCGCAAGGUUGAAACUCAAAGGAAUUGACGGGGACCCGCACAAGCGGUGGAGCAUGUGGUUUAAUUCGAAGCAACGCGAAGAACCUUACCAAAUCUUGACAUCCUUUGACAACUCUAGAGAUAGAGCCUUCCCCUUCGGGGGACAAAGUGACAGGUGGUGCAUGGUUGUCGUCAGCUCGUGUCGUGAGAUGUUGGGUUAAGUCCCGCAACGAGCGCAACCCUUAAGCUUAGUUGCCAUCAUUAAGUUGGGCACUCUAAGUUGACUGCCGGUGACAAACCGGAGGAAGGUGGGGAUGACGUCAAAUCAUCAUGCCCCUUAUGAUUUGGGCUACACACGUGCUACAAUGGACAAUACAAAGGGCAGCGAAACCGCGAGGUCAAGCAAAUCCCAUAAAGUUGUUCUCAGUUCGGAUUGUAGUCUGCAACUCGACUACAUGAAGCUGGAAUCGCUAGUAAUCGUAGAUCAGCAUGCUACGGUGAAUACGUUCCCGGGUCUUGUACACACCGCCCGUCACACCACGAGAGUUUGUAACACCCGAAGCCGGUGGAGUAACCUUUUAGGAGC